UGGGGUGGAAAUUCCAUUUUCCAGAUAGCUCUGCUCUAUAGAGUGUCAAGCCAAGAAUCAGGUUAGGCUAUGCAAUAAAAAUGUUUCUUUAACUUAGCCUGUAAAUUCCCUGACACACAUUCUCUAUAUGUCAUACAAGGCUCAACAUGCUGUCAGCCCUGAAAUAAUAAAUAGCAGUUUUAUACCCGAAGUGUUAUAAUGACUGCAAGUAAAAGCACUUCAGCUUUAUAGGAAGAGAUGGAACUGUUUAUAUAGCACUGACCCAAUGCUGCCAAGUGAUAUGCUACUGAAGGUGCCAUCAUUUGGAUGAGAAAUGUAACCAUGGCCCUGACCACUGGGGGCCAUUAAAAAUCCCAUUAUUCUUCAAGUGAUUGCACAUGUCCACUCCACUGUAGGCAAGUGCACAACCAACCCACAGUUGAAGGAGUGGCUUAGGCACCCUCUGCUGCCACAUGCUGCUGUAUGCAGGUAUAAAUAGUGGAACCAACCCUGAAUCCCACAGUUCCUUCUUGUUGGAGCGAUUACAGCCUUGCUGUUGCAAGUUAUUCCCUCAUUCCUUGUAAAAUGUAUCCAGUUUUUGGUUAGUGUAGUUCAGUGGUUCUCAACGUAUUUACCAUUGUGGGCCACAAAGUGAAGAGGCACAAGAUCUCAUCCAGGGACUUGGUACCUCACCCUGCAAGAUCCCAGGUACAAAAGCUUUCUAAAGGCAAGCUACCUGGGAGGGAUACUGAAAAGAGACACUCCCCAAAACAGGCUUCAGUUAAAAAGGGGUUGUCAGCUCCAGAACCUGAGUAAGAUCCAUUGAGACUGAUCCCUGAACUAUCUACUACAGUUUCUUCACGUUAUCUCCUGGUACCGCAGGGAUGAGUUGUGUUAUCGGUACCAUCAACACUGGAGGCAUACGCAGCAGCUAGAGAACUACUUAACCUUUUGGUGCCAGUUUCUCCAGCAGUGUAGGAAGUCUUUCAACCAAUACUGGUGCCUAAGGACUCUACUCCAGCUGCUCUGAAGCUUGCGGUGCCAAUACCUUCUAUGCUUUCCUGGACUUGGAAGACUGUACCGCUAAGGGGCAAACCAGCUAUGAUUUCUCUGGAACCUCCAUCCCUGGGCUCUAGCUGUCUCUCUCAAUUACAGUCAGCUUCUGCCCAUUAUCAGAAAUCUCAGAUUCUUUGUCCUCUUCAGACUCAGAUACUGGGUUCUCUGUCCUAGCCUAGACAGGAUAUGCAACCUUCAUUGGGAGCUUAUGCCCCAUAGUUCCUGCAGCAGCCUCGGCAGUGCCCACAAGAUGAGGGACAAUGGUCCAGUUAGGGUUGGGUCCCAGGACUGUAUCAAUGGCCUUUUUGGUUGCUGUAGGUUUCCCCCACAACUGCCACGCCUUCUCAGCCACCUCAGUCUGUCUCCUCAGGCACACAUCAAAAGCAUCAGCAUAGAAGGAAACGUCGUCCUGUCAUCAGUAUUGGGGCCUGUGCCAAGCAGGUGGAAGCCACCCCAGCGGCUCCACCAGCAGAGGAAAUACAGCAAGCUCUGCUAUAUCAUCCAGGUGCUUCCUCUUCCUCUUCACCAGAUGAGGCGGUAGAGGCAGUGAGCAACUCUUCUCCUCCAGAUGAUGAUAGAGCUCACCAGGACUUGUUAAAAACAGUAGCCUUGGUCCUGAAUAUCCAAGCUAAGGAGGUCUGUGAGAAAUCCCACAAGCUAGUGGAUAUUUUGGUCUCAGCAGGGCCCACCAGCGUGGCUCUCCCGAUUUAAUGAGGCUAUUACAGAGCUAACAAAUUUCAGAGUAGCAGCCGUGUUAGUCUGUAUCCACAAAAAGAAAAGGAGGACUUCUGGCACCUUAGAGACUAACAAAUUUAUUUGAGCAUAAGCUUUCGUGAGCUACAGCUCACUUCAUCAGAUGCAUGCAUGCAUCCGAAAGCUUAUGCUCAAAUAAAUUUGUUAGUCUCUAAGGUGCUACAAGUACUCCUUUUUUUUUUUUUUUUUUUUUUUUUAGAGCUGAUAAAGGCAUUAUGGGAGAUCCUGUCUCCACCGUCCCACAGCAAAAAGAAUGGAUGGAAGAUACUAUGUCCUGUCUAAGGGAUUUGAGCAUCUGCACACAUCUGCACACACGUGCACACUGGCCUUAAUAGUUGCCAGAGCUAAUCAAUGCAAGAUGCAAGGACACCAGGUAUGAACACCAAAAAGGAAGGACUCUCAGAAAUUGGAUCUUUUUCUUUGGAAACUUAUUCUACAGGGGGUCUGCAGGCUCAGUAUUGCAAAUCACACGCACUCCUAAUUCACAAUUACCUCACUUUAUGGGAUAAUAUAUUGAAGUUCAAGGGUAGGGUAUCAGAUGACUGAAGACAGGAAUUCACUGCAAUGGUGGAGAAGGGCAAGCUAGUGUCCAGAACAACUCUUUAGGCCAGGUUGGAUGCAGAUGACUCAGCAGCUCAUGUCAUGGCUCCUGCCAUAAAAACCUGUUACUUAACCAUUUGUAACUGCUGUUCUUUGAGAUGUGUUGCUCAUGUCCAUUCCAUUCUAGGUGUACACGGGCCCACAUGCCCAGUCAUUGGAGAUUUUUGCCUUAGCGGUAUCCAUAGGGUCAGCAAUGGUGCCCCCUUGAGUGCUGUGCUCAUGCGCUGGUAUAUCAGGAGCCGCUGACCUGACGUCCUUUCAGUUCCUUCUUGCUGGCAACUCUGACAGAGGGGCAGGAGGGCGGGUAAUGGAAUGGAUAUGAGCAACACAUCUCGAAGAACAAGAGGUACAAAAGGUAGGUAACCGCUUUUUCUUCUUCAAGUGCUUGCUCAUGUCAAUUCCUUUCUAGGUAACUCACAAGCAGUGGCAAUGGAGGUGGCUCAGAGUUCACGGUUUUGCAGAUUGCAGCACUGCCGUGCCGAAGCCAGCAUCAUCCUGGGGCAGCGCACAAUGGGAUGUAAACGUGUGGACAGAUGAUCAGGUAGCAGCUCUACAGAUCUCUUGGAUCAGCACCUGAGCCAAGAAGGCCACUGAUGACACCUGUGCUCUAGUCGAGUGCACUUUGGAGGCACACUUGUGAGCUCGUAGCAGUAUCGGAUGCAGGCUGUGAUCCAGGACGAAAUCCUCUGAGCUGACAAUGGGCAACCUUUCAUGUUGUCUGCCACCGCAACGAACAGUUGUGUUGACUUAUGGAAAGGCCGUGUCCUGUCGAUAUAAAAGGCCAGCACCCUCCGGACAUCUAAUACAUGUAACCUGUGCUCCUCUUUGGAACUAUGGGGCUUUGGAAAGAAGACCGACCGAGGUUGUGGCAGGUGCAACACACCAGAUCGAGCCUUCUCUGCACUUGGUUACAGGAUCUGCCCCGAUGAGCCAGUCAUCGAGGUAACCAAGGUGGACCCGUUGGCAUCUGAGGCCACUGGUGAGACUGUCAAGGCUUAGGCGGCAGGGGCAGCCAGAACUGCCAAAUUAUUGGGCCAGCCCCUAUGGAAGGGACUCCCUGAACUUCUGGUUUGUCACCUGAAACUGCAAACUGGCUGUCGAAUAAAUCUUUCUUUCAAA
This is a long non-coding RNA of Chelonia mydas (Green sea turtle), 3507 nucleotides long. RefSeq lists it as uncharacterized. Lineage: Eukaryota; Metazoa; Chordata; Testudines; Cheloniidae. The record is from RefSeq and is a predicted model, not a curated record. The transcript is spliced from 3 exons.